This 509-nucleotide ribosomal RNA is filed under the name Photorhabdus luminescens. RNAcentral's name for it is "bacterial SSU rRNA". It matches the Rfam family "Bacterial small subunit ribosomal RNA", at positions 39 to 532 of the family's 1533-position model. The record is from RNAcentral. Lineage: Bacteria; Pseudomonadati; Pseudomonadota; Gammaproteobacteria; Enterobacterales; Morganellaceae.
CGAGUCGCAUUUGGUUUUAUCAUGCACGUCGACGGAAGCCAAAGGAAGCUUGCUCUCUGGGUGGCGAGUGGCGGACCUGAGAAGAAUACAUCCGACUCUACUUUUUCGUGGGGGAUAACCUAGGGAAACUUACGCUAUUACCGCAAACGACCUAUGGGUGAAAGCAGGGGAUCUUCCGACCUUGCGCGAUUGAACUAGCCGAUGUCGGAUUAGCUAAUUGGCGGGGUAAAGGCCCACCAACGCGACAAUCCGAAGCUGGUCUGACAGGAUGAUCAGCCACACUGGAACUGAGACACGGUCCCGACGCCUACGGGAGGCAGCGGUGGGGAAUUUUGGACAUUGGCCCCAAGCCUGAUCCUCCCAUACCGCGUGGGUGAAGAAGGCCUUCAGGUUGUAAAGCCCUUUAGUUGGGAAAGAAAGGCAGCUGGCUAAUACCCGGUUGGGAUGACGGUACCCAAAGAACCAGCUCCGACUCCCAUUCGUGCCAACAGCCAAAGUACUACCAAGGG